CCUACGGGUGGCUGCAGUGGGGAAUAUUGGACAAUGGGCGCAAGCCUGAUCCAGCAAUGCCGCGUGUGUGAAGAAGGCCUGCGGGUUGUAAAGCACUUUGAGUGGGGAAGAAGGCCUGGGGGUUAAUAGCUUCUGGGAUUGACGUUACCCACACAACAAGCACCGGCUAACUCCGUGCCAGCAGCCGCGGUAAUACGGAGGGUGCUAGCGUUAAUCAGAAGUACUGAGCGGAUAGCGCGAGUCUGCGGUUAAAGCCCUGGGCUUAACCUGGGAACUGCAUUGGAUACUGUUUGACUGGAGUGUGGUAGAGGGGUGUGGAAUUUCCGGUGUAGCAGUGAAAUGCGUAGAGAUCGGAAGGAACACCAGUGGCGAAGGCGGCACCCUGGACCGACACUGACGCUGAGGUGCGAAAGCGUGGGGAGCAAACAGGAUUAGAUACCCCGGUAGUC
RNAcentral lists this ribosomal RNA (449 nucleotides) under uncultured bacterium. Its description in RNAcentral is "partial 16S ribosomal RNA". It matches the Rfam family "Bacterial small subunit ribosomal RNA", at positions 338 to 795 of the family's 1533-position model. The record is from RNAcentral.